RNAcentral lists this ribosomal RNA (489 nucleotides) under uncultured bacterium. RNAcentral describes it as "partial 16S ribosomal RNA". It matches the Rfam family "Bacterial small subunit ribosomal RNA", at positions 29 to 507 of the family's 1533-position model. The record is from RNAcentral.
AUGAACGCUAGCGGCAGGCCUCAUCCCUGCAAGUCGAACGGGAUCCAGAUCAAAGCUUGCUUUGGUCUGGUGAGAGUGGCGCACGGGUGCGUAACGCGUGAGCAACCUACCCUUGUCAGGGGGAUAGCCCGGCGAAAGUCGGAUUAAUACCGCAUGACAUCAUUGAGAGGCAUCUUUCGAUGAUCAAAGAUUUAUCGGACAAGGAUGGGCUCGCGUGACAUUAGCUAGUUGGUAAGGUAACGGCUUACCAAGGCUGCGAUGUCUAGGGGCUCUGAGAGGAGAAUCCCCCACACUGGUACUGAGACACGGACCAGACUCCUACGGGAGGCAGCAGUAAGGAAUAUUGGUCAAUGGACGGAAGUCUGAACCAGCCAUGCCGCGUGCAGGAGGACGGCCCUAUGGGUUGUAAACUGCUUUUAUACGGGAACAAACGUCGGUACGUGUACCGGUCUGAGUGUACCGUAAGAAUAAGGAUCGGCUAACUCCGUG